RNAcentral lists this ribosomal RNA (258 nucleotides) under uncultured Sarcomonadea. RNAcentral describes it as "partial small subunit ribosomal RNA". It matches the Rfam family "Eukaryotic small subunit ribosomal RNA", at positions 587 to 839 of the family's 1831-position model. The record is from RNAcentral. Lineage: Eukaryota; Cercozoa.
AGCUCCAAUAGCGUAUAUUAAAGUUGUUGCAGUUAAAAAGCUCGUAGUUGGAUUUCUGGUGUGGCGCGGCCGGCCCGCCGCCCUCUGGGCGUGUGAGUGUCGGUUCGCGUCUACCAUCCUUCUAGAGAGCGGCCCUGCCAUUCACUUGGUUGGGGUCGCGAUCUGGAUCUUUUACUUUGAAAAAAUUAGAGUGUUCAAAGCAGGCUUGCGCCACUGAAUACAUUAGCAUGGAAUAAUAAGAUAGGACUUUUUCUAUUU